RNAcentral lists this ribosomal RNA (489 nucleotides) under uncultured bacterium. RNAcentral describes it as "partial 16S ribosomal RNA". It matches the Rfam family "Bacterial small subunit ribosomal RNA", at positions 30 to 506 of the family's 1533-position model. The record is from RNAcentral.
AUUGAACGCUGGCGGCAGGCCUAACACAUGCAAGUCGAACGGUAACAGGAAGAAGCUUGCUUCUUUGCUGACGAGUGGCGGACGGGUGAGUAAUGUCUGGGAAACUGCCUGAUGGAGGGGGAUAACUACUGGAAACGGUAGCUAAUACCGCAUAACGUCGCAAGACCAAAGAGGGGGACCUUCGGGCCUCUUGCCAUCGGAUGUGCCCAGAUGGGAUUAGCUAGUAGGUGGGGUAACGGCUCACCUAGGCGACGAUCCCUAGCUGGUCUGAGAGGAUGACCAGCCACACUGGAGCUGAGACACGGUCCAGACUCCGACGGGAGGCAGCAGUGGGGAAUAUUGCACAAGGGGCGCAAGCCUGAUGCAGCCAUGCCGCGUGUAUGAAGAAGGCCUUCGGGUUGUAAAGUACUUUCAGCGGGGAGGAAGGGAGUAAAGUUAAUACCUGUGCUCAUUGACGUUACCCGCAGAAGAAGCACCGGCUAACUCCGG